UCGACCUGAGAUCAGACGAGACUACCCGCUGAACUUAAGCAUAUCACUAAGCGG
Molecule: ribosomal RNA, 54 nt
Filed under: Platynereis dumerilii (Dumeril's clam worm)
Lineage: Eukaryota; Metazoa; Annelida; Polychaeta; Phyllodocida; Nereididae
Description: partial 28S ribosomal RNA
Source: RNAcentral